Stegodyphus mimosarum is the source of this 120-nucleotide non-coding RNA. The record is from Rfam. NCBI's taxonomy places the organism in Eukaryota, Metazoa, Arthropoda, Arachnida, Araneae, Eresidae.
AUGCUCUGGGUUCUCUUCAUCAAUCGAGCUAAUCUUUCGCCUUUUACUAAAGAUUACCGUGGAGAGGAACAUUACAAUGAGCCUAAAUUGAAUUUUUGGAAUCCCACCUAAAGGUGGGGU